UACGAAGGGGGCUAGCGUUGCUCGGAAUUACUGGGCGUAAAGCGUGCGCAGGCGGAUUUCCAAGUCAGGAGUGAAAUCCCAGGGCUCAACCCUGGAAUUGCUCUUGAAACUGGAUGUCUUGAGUCUCGGAGAGGUUGGCGGAAUUCCCAGUGUAGCAGUGAAAUGCGUAGAUAUUGGGAGGAACACCAGUGGCGUAAGCGGCCAACUGGACGAGUACUGACGCUCAUGCACGAAAGUGUGGGGAUCAAACAGG
RNAcentral lists this ribosomal RNA (253 nucleotides) under uncultured bacterium. RNAcentral's name for it is "partial 16S ribosomal RNA". It matches the Rfam family "Bacterial small subunit ribosomal RNA", at positions 524 to 776 of the family's 1533-position model. The record is from RNAcentral.